UGAGGAAUAUUGCACAAUGGGGGCAACCCUGAUGCAGCGACGCCGCGUGGGUGAUGAAGGUUUUCGGAUCGUAAAGCCCUUUUCUGCAUGACGAGCCAAGGACGGUAGUGCAGGAAUAAGUGUCGGCUAACUACGUGCCAGCAGCCGCGGUAAAACGUAGGACACAAGCGUUAUCCGGAAUUACUGGGCGUAAAGGGCGUGCAGGCGGUUGCGUAAGUUAGGCGUGAAAGACUUCGGCUAAACCGGGGGAGGUCGUCUGAUACUGCGCAACUAGAGUAUGGUAGAGGCGUGUAGAAUUCCGGGUGUAGUGGUGAAAUGCGUAGAGAUCCGGAGGAAUACCAGUGGCGAAGGCGGCACGCUGGGCCAUAACUGACGCUAAGACGCGAAAGCAUGGGUAGCGAACGGGAUUAGAUACCCCUGUAGUCCCUGAGCGGGCUGGCAAGGCGCAU
Molecule: ribosomal RNA, 449 nt
Filed under: uncultured bacterium
Lineage: Bacteria
Description: bacterial SSU rRNA
Rfam family: Bacterial small subunit ribosomal RNA
Source: RNAcentral